GGUGGUGGGCGGCGAGGGCGAUGGCCGUGGUAAGUUGCUGUAUUUUUUUGAUGGAACCACUUUUGAUUUGUGCGGGAACCAGCGCGGCGGCGGCGACGACCACCAUGAUUUUUGCUACAACCGGCGACUACACCCGGCACGAGUGAUGGAACCGGGGAACAGACGAGCUGCAACCACAAGCUGACGAGCUACCACCGGCUUAUGUGGAUGCUACAACCGUUGCGGGGCAAGCUGCAAUCAGGAAAGGAGUUGUUACUACCUCGACCGGCAGGCGCGACGGCGGAGCACACGAGAUGCUACAACAGUUGAGGGAGGAGCUGCCACUGUGCCCGAUUUUUUGGUAACUGGUGAUCUUGGCGAGCUGCAGGGUAACCACGGUGAGUUUGUCCAGAGGGGCGGGGGAGUGCUUCAAUCACGACCAGGUUUGCUGGAACCAGCACGCAAAGAUGCUCCAACUAGAAUAUGUUCUUGUUGUACAAACGAUUUUUUGAUACAGCCACAAUUUUGUUUUGUUGGAACCAGUAUGCGAACAUGCUUCCACCGGAGUUUAAUUCUUUGCUGGAGCAGGGACUUUUGCUACAACCAUAGCUUCAAAUUGCUGGAACAAGGUUUUCAAAUGAUUCAACAGGGGUGGCGACACAAAGCUGCUUUUUGACAACUUUUUUUUGUUGCGACCAUUGACGACGAGCAUCAGCGACGAGCACGGCGGUGGCUGUCGACGGCGACAAAUGGGGGAGGGCGGCAGUGCGCUGCGUGACGCGGCGAUGGUGGGCGGCUGCCAUGACUUGCGGUGUUUUGUUCAGAUAUGAACGUGAACGGGGUAAGAAGGAAGAAGGUAACCUGGAUGGAUGAGGAUCCAACGUCUCGGAGUGGGCCAAUCGGGCGGUUGGCGUGCGAUCGGCCGAAACUUUGGGCCAGCGCGUCUGUGCUGAUCAGUCGCUUAUCCAACAAAUCACAUUCCGUCCAACUGCAUCUAUCCAACUGUCUAUGUCCCUCAGUUGCCUGAAGAACCAUGUCCAACUUUCAAUGCUCUCACUCUCCACAAAUGCAAAUGCCAAUGGGACUACUUGAUUUUGGUCGUCUAGACCAAUGGCGGUCAGGAUCUGACCCUUGUACUUACCAGUGGGAAAAGUGCCAUCUACACAUAUGAAAGCACAGAUAAGUUCAACAGUGGAGUGGCAAGGACAAGAUGACGUGCAACCCCUUCAAAAUGCUA
Molecule: RNA transcript, 1216 nt
Organism: Triticum dicoccoides
Lineage: Eukaryota; Viridiplantae; Streptophyta; Magnoliopsida; Poales; Poaceae
Exons: 3
Source: RefSeq, a predicted model, not a curated record